This 950-nucleotide unclassified non-coding RNA is filed under the name Bombus terrestris (buff-tailed bumblebee). RNAcentral describes it as "misc RNA ENSBTSG00005037756.1". The record is from RNAcentral. Lineage: Eukaryota; Metazoa; Arthropoda; Insecta; Hymenoptera; Apidae.
UUUUCAACUGCAUCUAAUUAAAAAGAAAAAACACUCGAUAUCGAAUCUAAGAAGAUGAUUUAUUUCGUUAAUUCUCUGCAACUGAGAAAGUAAUGAAACCUAAUGGAACAAAAAAGCUCAGUCGCUUUAUAGUAAAUCGAAUUUCACGAGCAAACACGAUAGCAUUCUCAAUAAUUACACUAACAAGAUUAAAAGUUUUAUAGAUAGAAAAUUAUUUCUCCCGGAACAGGAUUCCAUGACAUCUACACUACUUCUACAUACACAGACGAUCCAGGGAAACAUUGUGUAUGGAGCUUUAAAGGCGAAAGGCGCUUCCUAACCUACAAAAGACGCUUGAAGUAGUAGCACUUACCGUACACCAAGGAACGAGACACUCGACCGUAUUCACAGGUUUUCAGUACCCUGGCAACAUAACGCUCCUCCUACUGUCGUUCGACGAAGACCAAUGGCGGACUAAAGAGGGUAGUUUCGUGAUUGGUACGAUCCUGGGGAAAGCCGGUUGCACGCACGCACACGUGGGUGCUCUGGUUGCGGCGCUCGACAGUCGGCAAAAGCGUUCUAUCGAGGGGCCCCCUGGCGUAUACGCGUGCACACACGCGUGAGUAUCUUACACAUAUAAAACAGCCGAUCAGACUGAAGUUACGAGUAGAGUCCUUGUGUCAGCGCAGCAGACACAGACGGUAUCCCAAACGGAGUGCGGUCGUUGCUCACGAAGAAGUGGAAGAAAGACAGAAAUAAGGAUACACAUAGAGACGUGUCCUAACACGCGGGUCUGUGGAGAGUAGUGUACCCCUCCGUUGGCGAGUUUACGGGCGAGCAGACGCGGUGUUAUCGCAUACAGCACGCGCUGCACGCUCGUCCGGGAUUCAGCACCGAGCGGCUCGACAAAACGUGCGAGACACGAGACGCGAGGCGCGGCUGUGGCGUGCACACAUCCGUAGGUGUGAUAA